This 466-nucleotide ribosomal RNA is filed under the name uncultured bacterium. Its description in RNAcentral is "partial 16S ribosomal RNA". It matches the Rfam family "Bacterial small subunit ribosomal RNA", at positions 28 to 507 of the family's 1533-position model. The record is from RNAcentral.
GAUGAACGCUGGCGGCGUGCUUAACACAUGCAAGUCGAACGGAAAGGCCCAAGCUUGCUUGGGUACUCGAGUGGCGAACGGGUGAGUAACACGUGGGUGAUCUGCCCUGCACUUCGGGAUAAGCCUGGGAAACUGGGUCUAAUACCGGAUAGGACCACAUUUUGGAUGGUGUGGUGGAAAGUUUUUCGGUGUGGGAUGAGCUCGCGGCCUAUCAGCUUGUUGGUGGGGUAAUGGCCUACCAAGGCGUCGACGGGUAGCCGGCCUGAGAGGGUGUACGGCCACAUUGGGACUGAGAUACGGCCCAGACUCCUACGGGAGGCAGCAGCGGGGAAUAUUGCACAAUGGGCGCAAGCCUGAUGCAGCGACGCCGCGUGGGGGAUGACGGCCUUCGGGUUGUAAACUCCUUUCGCUAGGGACGAAGCGUUAUGUGACGGUACCUGGAGAAGAAGCACCGGCUAACUACGUG